RNAcentral lists this transfer RNA (69 nucleotides) under Achelia bituberculata. RNAcentral's name for it is "tRNA-Asp". The record is from RNAcentral. Lineage: Eukaryota; Metazoa; Arthropoda; Pycnogonida; Pantopoda; Ammotheidae.
GAGGAUUAGUUAAUGUAUAACAUAAAUAUGUCAAAUUUAAAUAACUGCUAAGUAUCUUCUUAUACCUCA